Molecule: ribosomal RNA, 468 nt
Filed under: Bacteroides sp. HB4
Lineage: Bacteria; Pseudomonadati; Bacteroidota; Bacteroidia; Bacteroidales; Bacteroidaceae
Description: bacterial SSU rRNA
Rfam family: Bacterial small subunit ribosomal RNA
Source: RNAcentral
CAAGUCGAGGGGCAGCAUGAAGGUUUGCUUGCAAACCUUCGAUGGCGACCGGCGCACGGGUGAGUAACACGUAUCCAACCUGCCGACAACUCGGGGAUAGCCUUUCGAAAGAAAGAUUAAUACCCGAUGGCAUACCGCUUCCGCAUGUUUGCGGUAUUAAAGAAUUUCGGUUGUCGAUGGGGAUGCGUUCCAUUAGCUUGUUGGCGGGGUAACGGCCCACCAAGGCAUCGAUGGAUAGGGGUUCUGAGAGGAAGGUCCCCCACAUUGGAACUGAGACACGGUCCAAACUCCUACGGGAGGCAGCAGUGAGGAAUAUUGGUCAAUGGACGGAAGUCUGAACCAGCCAAGUAGCGUGAAGGAUGACUGCCCUAUGGGUUGUAAACUUCUUUUAUACGGGAAUAAAGUGGGAUAUGCAUAUCUUUUUGUAUGUACCGUAUGAAUAAGGAUCGGCUAACUCCGUGCCAGCAG